RNAcentral lists this ribosomal RNA (253 nucleotides) under uncultured bacterium. RNAcentral's name for it is "partial 16S ribosomal RNA". It matches the Rfam family "Bacterial small subunit ribosomal RNA", at positions 524 to 776 of the family's 1533-position model. The record is from RNAcentral.
UACGUAGGGUGCGAGCGUUAAUCGGAAUUACUGGGCGUAAAGCGUGCGCAGGCGGUUCGUUGUGUCGGCGGUGAAAGCCCCGGGCUUAACCUGGGAAUGGCCGUUGAAACUGGCGAACUGGAGUGUGGCAGAGGGGGGUGGAAUUCCGCGUGUAGCAGUGAAAUGCGUAGAGAUGCGGAGGAACACCGAUGGCGAAGGCAGCCCCCUGGGCUAACACUGACGCUCAGGCACGAAGGCGUGGGGAGCAAACAGG